AAUGAACGCUGGCGGCAUGCCUUACACAUGCAAGUCGAACGGCAGCAUGACCUAGCUUGCUAGGUUGAUGGCGAGUGGCGAACGGGUGAGUCAUGCAUCGGAACGUGCCUUUUAGUGGGGGAUAACGUAGCGAAAGUUACGCUAAUACCGCAUAUUCUCUGAGGAGGAAAGCAGGGGACCUUCGGGCCUUGCGCUAGAAGAGCGGCCGAUGUCGGAUUAGCUAGUUGGUGAGGUAAAGGCUCACCAAGGCACCGAUCCGUAGCGGGUCUGAGAGGAUGAUCCGCCACACUGGGACUGAGACAAGGCCCAGACUCCUACGGGAGGCAGCAGUGGGGAAUUUUGGACAAUGGGCGCAAGCCUGAUCCAGCCAUGCCGCGUGAGUGAAGAAGGCCUUCGGGUUGUAAAGCUCUUUCGGCUGGGAAGAAAUCGCACCCUCUAAUACAGGGUGUGGAUGACGGUACCAGCAGAAGAAGCACCGGCUAACUACGUG
This 490-nucleotide ribosomal RNA is filed under the name uncultured bacterium. RNAcentral's name for it is "partial 16S ribosomal RNA". It matches the Rfam family "Bacterial small subunit ribosomal RNA", at positions 29 to 507 of the family's 1533-position model. The record is from RNAcentral.